CCCCUCUCUCGCCCGGGAACUACGAGCCAAGCUUAAAACCCAAAGGACUUGACGGUACCCCACAUCCACCUAGAGGAGCCUGUCCUAUAAUCGAUAACCCACGUUUAACCUCACCAUUUUUAGCUUACUCAGCCUGUAUACCUCCGUCGUCAGCUUACCACGUGAGCGUUAGUGAGCUUAAUGUUAUUCAACCACACGUCAGGUCAAGGUGCAACUUAUAAAAUGGGAAGAGAUGGGCUACACUUUCUAACUUAGGACACACGAAAGAUUACUAAUGAAAAUUUAUCAGAAGGCGGAUUUAGCAGUAAACAGAAAUCAAAAAGUUCCGGUUAAUUUGGCACUGGGGCGCGUACACACCGCCCGUCACCCUC
This 371-nucleotide ribosomal RNA is filed under the name Mannophryne olmonae (Bloody Bay poison frog). RNAcentral's name for it is "partial 12S ribosomal RNA". It matches the Rfam family "Bacterial small subunit ribosomal RNA", at positions 875 to 1404 of the family's 1533-position model. Lineage: Eukaryota; Metazoa; Chordata; Amphibia; Anura; Aromobatidae. The record is from RNAcentral.